GCCUGGGUGGCUCAGUCGGUUGAGCAUCCGACUUCGGCUCGGGUCAUGAUCUCACAGCUCAUGGGUUCGAGCCCCGCGUCGGGCU
RNAcentral lists this transfer RNA (85 nucleotides) under Felis catus (domestic cat). It matches the Rfam family "tRNA". From Rfam's summary of the family: Transfer RNA (tRNA) molecules are approximately 80 nucleotides in length. Lineage: Eukaryota; Metazoa; Chordata; Mammalia; Carnivora; Felidae. The record is from Rfam by way of RNAcentral.